UUUGUCGCGUCUGCUGUGAAAAUCUGAGGCUCAACCUCGGACUUGCAGUGGGUACGGGCAGACUAGAGUGCGGUAGGGGAGAAGGGAAUUCCUGGUGUAGCGGUGGAAUGCGCAGAUAUCAGGAGGAACACCAAUGGCGAAGGCACUUCUCUGGGCCGUAACUGACGCUGAGGAGCGAAAGCGUGGGGAGCGAACAGGAUUAGAUACCCUGGUAGUCCACGCCGUAAACGUUGGGCGCUAGAUGUGGGUCACAUUCCACGUGAUCCGUGUCGCAGCUAACGCAUUAAGCGCCCCGCCUGGGGAGUACGGCCGCAAGGCUAAAACUCAAAGGAAUUGACGGGGGCCCGCACAAGCGGCGGAGCAUGCGGAUUAAUUCGAUGCAACGCGAAGAACCUUACCAAGGCUUGACAUGUAGAGGAAAACUGCAGAAAUGUAGUCCCCCGCAAGGGUCUCUAUGCAGGUGGUGCAUGGUUGUCGUCAGCUCGUGUCGUGAGAUGUUGGGUUAAGUCCCGCAACGAGCGCAACCCUCGUCCUAUGUUGCCAGCACGUAAAGGUGGGAACUCAUGGGAGACUGCCGGGGUCAACUCGGAGGAAGGUGGGGAUGACGUCAAAUCAUCAUGCCCCUUAUGUCUUGGGCUUCACGCAUGCUACAAUGGCCGGUACAAAGGGCUGCAAUACCGUAAGGUGGAGCGAAUCCCAAAAAGCCGGUCUCAGUUCGGAUUGAGGUCUGCAACUCGACCUCAUGAAGUCGGAG
This 754-nucleotide ribosomal RNA is filed under the name uncultured bacterium. Its description in RNAcentral is "bacterial SSU rRNA". It matches the Rfam family "Bacterial small subunit ribosomal RNA", at positions 579 to 1331 of the family's 1533-position model. The record is from RNAcentral.